AGAGUUUGAUCCUGGCUCAGGACGAACGCUGGCGGCGUGCUUAACACAUGCAAGUCGAACGGAAAGGCCCCUCGGGGUACUCGAGUGGCGAACGGGUGAGUAACACGUGGGUGAUCUGCCCUGCACUCUGGGGUAAGCCUGGGAAACUGGGUCUAAUACCGGAUAGGACCGCAUGCUUCAUGGUGUGUGGUGCAAAGCUUUUGCGGUGUGGGAUGAGCCCGCGGCCUAUCAGCUUGUUGGUGGGGUAAUGGCCCACCAAGGCGACGACGGGUAGCCGGCCUGAGAGGGUGACCGGCCACACUGGGACUGAGAUACGGCCCAGACUCCUACGGGAGGCAGCAGUGGGGAAUAUUGCACAAUGGGCGCAAGCCUGAUGCAGCGACGCCGCGUGAGGGAUGACGGCCUUCGGGUUGUAAACCUCUUUCAGUAGGGACGAAGCGAAAGUGACGGUACCUACAGAAGAAGGACCGGCCAACUACGUGCCAGCAGCCGCGGUAAUACGUAGGGUCCGAGCGUUGUCCGGAAUUACUGGGCGUAAAGAGCUCGUAGGUGGUUUGUCGCGUUGUUCGUGAAAACUCACAGCUUAACUGUGGGCGUGCGGGCGAUACGGGCAGACUAGAGUACUGCAGGGGAGACUGGAAUUCCUGGUGUAGCGGUGGAAUGCGCAGAUAUCAGGAGGAACACCGGUGGCGAAGGCGGGUCUCUGGGCAGUAACUGACGCUGAGGAGCGAAAGCGUGAGUAGCGAACAGGAUUAGAUACCCUGGUAGUCC
Molecule: ribosomal RNA, 771 nt
Filed under: uncultured bacterium
Lineage: Bacteria
Description: bacterial SSU rRNA
Rfam family: Bacterial small subunit ribosomal RNA
Source: RNAcentral